RNAcentral lists this ribosomal RNA (376 nucleotides) under uncultured organism. RNAcentral describes it as "partial 16S ribosomal RNA". It matches the Rfam family "Bacterial small subunit ribosomal RNA", at positions 527 to 896 of the family's 1533-position model. The record is from RNAcentral.
GUAGGUGGCAAGCGUUGUCCGGAAUUAUUGGGCGUAAAGCGCGCGCAGGUGGUUCUUUAAGUCUGAUGUGAAAGCCCCCGGCUCAACCGGGGAGGGUCAUUGGAAACUGGGGAACUUGAGUGCAGGAGAGGAAAGUGGAAUUCCACGUGUAGCGGUGAAAUGCGUAGAUAUGUGGAGGAACACCAGUGGCGAAGGCGACUUUCUGGCCUGUAACUGACACUGAGGCGCGAAAGCGUGGGGAGCAAACAGGGAUUAGAUACCCUGGUAGUCCACGCCGUAAACGAUGAGUGCUAAGUGUUGGGGGGGUUUCCCGCCCCUCAGUGCUGCAGCUAACGCAUUAAGCACUCCGCCGUGGGGAGUACCGGUCGCAAGACUG